GGGGGCGUAGCUCAGCUGGUUAGAGCGUCUGCGUGACAUGCAGAAGGUCAUAGGUCCGAUUCCUACCGUCCCCA
Molecule: transfer RNA, 74 nt
Filed under: Clostridiales bacterium
Lineage: Bacteria; Bacillati; Bacillota; Clostridia; Eubacteriales
Also listed under: 2 other names
Description: tRNA-Val
Rfam family: tRNA
About the family: Transfer RNA (tRNA) molecules are approximately 80 nucleotides in length.
Source: RNAcentral